This 80-nucleotide small RNA is filed under the name Flavobacterium resistens. RNAcentral's name for it is "Flavo-1 RNA". It matches the Rfam family "Flavo-1 RNA". The record is from RNAcentral. Lineage: Bacteria; Pseudomonadati; Bacteroidota; Flavobacteriia; Flavobacteriales; Flavobacteriaceae.
CCAUAGCCCCGAUAGAAGCCGAAAUCCUUUUGCUUUUUUCUUUAAAAAGCAAAAGAUUGGAGCGGAUAGCGGGAAAUAGC